Salarias fasciatus (jewelled blenny) is the source of this 564-nucleotide long non-coding RNA. RefSeq lists it as uncharacterized. Lineage: Eukaryota; Metazoa; Chordata; Actinopteri; Blenniiformes; Blenniidae. The record is from RefSeq and is a predicted model, not a curated record. The transcript is spliced from 3 exons.
CAGCCAUCGGAAAGCAGACGCCACGAGGAGCCGGGGCCGGACGCCUCUUGCUGGGUGCGCGUGCUCUCUGUGCGUGUGUCCUGACGCAGACGGUGACGCGCGGAGGCGGGAGACGCUGCCCACAGAUUCCUGUCUGACACACGGCGCUGUUACCGCUGCUGAUCUGCUGCGUGAAGGCAGUGAAUCAUUACAAUAACCUUCAUCAUCAUCAUCAUCAUCAUCAUGAACGGCAGCAGAGUGACGGUCACCCUCGUCAGCUUUGGCAGCAUCUUCACGCCCAUGACUGCAUGUCGCCCAGUUCUCUGCCUCGCUCGUCUCUCCAGCGUCGGUCUCUCUGUGUUUAGAGUGGUUUCCAUCAGAGCCGUGUUCUUUCAACAGGCUGAGACGCACUUUUUAAGAGAGGCGUCCAGGGAAUGGCAUUUCAAAUCCAUUAUUGACCUUUGACCCUUUAUAUGAAUAAUAACCAGCCUGUGAGAUAGCAGGACCCCUCAAAUCCAUCAAAUUAUAAAUACUUCAUUUGCCUACAGAAUACACAGCAUGCAUAGAGAUAUAUUGACAUUGACU